GGCCGUGUGCCCGAGAGGUUCAGGGACUCGCCUGCAAAGCGAGGUACGUGGGUUCGAAUCCCGCCACGGCCUCCC
This 75-nucleotide transfer RNA is filed under the name Streptomyces ipomoeae. Its description in RNAcentral is "tRNA-Cys". It matches the Rfam family "tRNA". From Rfam's summary of the family: Transfer RNA (tRNA) molecules are approximately 80 nucleotides in length. The record is from RNAcentral. Lineage: Bacteria; Bacillati; Actinomycetota; Actinomycetes; Kitasatosporales; Streptomycetaceae.